Molecule: long non-coding RNA, 2707 nt
Filed under: Manihot esculenta (cassava)
Lineage: Eukaryota; Viridiplantae; Streptophyta; Magnoliopsida; Malpighiales; Euphorbiaceae
Description: long non-coding RNA (MESC_LNC000098)
Source: RNAcentral
GUUGCUGGACAAAUACCCCAGCACCCCUAUUUAUAGGCUAUCCACCUCCUCAAUGUGUGGUGGAAAUGCCUUCUCAAAUAUGUGGCCAGAAUUCUCCUUCCAGAACUUUCAGGGACUAAACGGUAAUUUUACACCCCUGGGAGAAUUCUGGAUUCUGCUGGCCAACCAAUAUGUGGGCCCCAGCUGCUGGUGGGAAAUCUGCUGCCCUUGCAGAUUUCUGGAAGCUUUUGGGCUGUUCCAGCCUGUUCUGGGAGCCACUGGCCCAUUCUGGGCGCCUUCUGGAAUUUUCGUAGGCCAACCAGACUCCCCUGGAAUUUUCGUUGGCCAACCAGAACCUCCUGGCAGCUUCCCGCGCGCCCCAGCUGCUUCUGGAAGCUUCGGGCGCCUUCCAGCCCGUUCCGCCAAUUGACCCUCGUCUGGCACAGAUCCGUAGGCCAACCAGUCUUCCGUAGGCCAACCGUAUCCGCAGGCCAACCAGCUCCGUAGGCCAACCGUAUCCGUAGGCCAACCAGCUCCGUAGGCCAACCGUAUCCGUAGGCCAACCACGCCCCGCUGGCCAACCACGCCCGCUGGCCAACCACGAAUCUGCCAAUUGCCCGUUGGCCAGCCAACUGCCUGCCCCGCAGCUGCUGCCACCAAUCGCCCCUUGGCACUCCAUAGGGCUGUCCCACCAUUCUUCCUUCACAAAAUUCUUUGGAUUUUAGGGAGGCAUGAGAAGAGUCGUGACAUUCUCCCCCAGCUAUUCCCGCGACGCCCUCGUCGCGUCUCCACGAAGUCGCACCUUCGACCUCCAUGGUCUACUCUCCCAUGGUGCAGAUGGAGAACGUCCCUUAGACUUUACCUCCCUUGGAGAAUCAACAUCCACUCUAUGAUUCUCCACACAAGUCUUCACAAACCAUUUGACAUCCAUCACCAUGUGAUGCCAAAAGAACUCACGUCCAAGCAUUGCCAUCAUCUUUCUCACACUUGGACGGCCACGAAUCAUGAAGUCAUGACACCACCUCAUGACCUCCUCUCGUAACUUGCCCCAUCUAGGCACAAAGAUGCUGCCACGCCUCGUCUUAAUGAGCCCACCAUCAACCACGAACUUCCUUGUUACCCCAUCGCAAGCCAACCUUACCAGUUGCUUGGCUUGCCCAUCACGCAUCGUUGCCUCCUUGAUGCGCCUCAACAAGGAAGACUUUGGACCCAUCGCGUCGACAGUCAUCCUCCCCAUCAUCCUAUCCAUCUCCGCCCUUAGGAAAUGGUUCUCCUCCUUGAUGGCAGCAUUCUCCUCGGAAUGGGCAUGCCUAAGUGUCCCCAUCUCACUCGCUAGUUUGUCGACGGCAGAGUCGAGGGCACCUUGCAUCUCCUCACGGAACUCUUCCAUCCCAUUGCCAAGUUCCUCGAUGCGGGUGUCUACCUCCUCGAACUUCUCUUCCUCCUCGAUCAAGACUAGCUCCACCUUCGCAAGACGGGUCUCCAAAUCACCGAGCUCCUCCCUAGCUCGUGUAGGCUCCCUCGAUUUGCCCCUUCCUUUCCUUUUGCCGCCAGCAUGCUCCUCCACCAUUGGAGCAACUCCCCCAGCAAUCACCUCGCUUGGAUCAGACAUCUUUCCUCCAAUCAAGCAAACCAACGCUCUGAUACCACUUGUCACGGGCUUAAUGAUUCCAACCCCAAAAAUCGCUUAAGCCGUGCGGCACUCAGCUCAGUCCGUCGAGCUAAGUCAGCCUAACCUCACUAUCACGCAGCGGAAAGUAAUUUGAAGGGUUGUGAAGAGCUCGGCCAGCUUCUUGUGGGAUGAAGGAAGCUAAACUAGCUAAACUAGCUAGAAGGGAAGAGAAUUGGGGAAAAUGGCUUUUAUAUUACACUUGGGAAAAUUUACAAGGCAAGUAUACAAGAAAGCUCACAAAUACACCACAAAGUGUGUACAAGGUGUCCCAAAGGCUCUUUAGAUGUAGGAGGCUUCUACUCUCUAAGUUCUUCUUAAGUUUCUUCAGUUGCUGGACAAAUACCCCAGCACCCCUAUUUAUAGGCUAUCCACCUCCUCAAUGUGUGGUGAAAAUGCCUUCUCAAAUAUGUGGCCAGAAUUCUCCUUCCAGAACUUUCAGGGACUAAACGGUAAUUUUAUACCCCUGGGAGAAUUCUGGAUUCUGCUGACCAACCAAUAUGUGGGCCCCAGUUGCUGGUGGGAAAUCUGUUGCCCCUGCAGAUUUCUGGAAGCUUCUGGGCUGUUCCAGCCUGUUCUGGGCGCCACUGGCCCGUUCUGGGCGCCUUCUGGAAUUUUCGUAGGCCAACCAGACUCCCCUGGAAUUUUCGUUGGCCAACCAGAACCUCCUGGCAGCUUCCCGCGCGCCCCAGCUGCUUCUGGAAGCUUCGGGCGCCUUCCAGCCCGUUCCGCCAAUUGACCCUCGUCUGGCACAGAUCCGUAGGCCAACCAGUCUUCCGUAGGCCAACCGUAUCCGUAGGCCAACCAGCUCCUUAGGCCAACCGUAUCCGUAGGCCAACCAGCUCCGUAGGCCAACCGUAUCCGUAGGCCAACCACGCCCCGCUGGCCAACCACGCCCGCUGGCCAACCACGAAUCUGCCAAUUGCCCAUUGGCCAGCCAACUGCCUGCCCCGCAGCUGCUGCCACCAAUCGCCCCUUGGCACUCCAUAGGGCUGUCCCACCAUUCUUCCUUCACAAAAUUCUUUGGAUUUUAGGGAGGCAUGAGAAGAGUCGUGACAC